UCUUGGAGUAGGUCAUUGGGUGGAUCCUCUAAUUCCUUACGUGGGCCACUGGAUGGCUCCUCCAUGUCU
MicroRNA precursor from Oryctolagus cuniculus (rabbit), 69 nucleotides. Ensembl annotates it as ocu-mir-432. Its record names the gene ocu-mir-432. NCBI's taxonomy places the organism in Eukaryota, Metazoa, Chordata, Mammalia, Lagomorpha, Leporidae. The record is from Ensembl.